Molecule: ribosomal RNA, 1129 nt
Filed under: uncultured bacterium
Lineage: Bacteria
Description: bacterial SSU rRNA
Rfam family: Bacterial small subunit ribosomal RNA
Source: RNAcentral
UGAUGACGGUAUAAGAUGGACCCGCGUCUGAUUAGCUAGUAGGUGAGGUAAUGGCUCACCUAGGCGACGAUCAGUAGCCGACCUGAGAGGGUGAUCGGCCACAUUGGGACUGAGACACGGCCCAAACUCCUACGGGAGGCAGCAGUGGGGAAUAUUGCACAAUGGGGGAAACCCUGAUGCAGCGACGCCGCGUGAAGGAUGAAGGUUUUCGGAUCGUAAGAACCGCCGGGUGGUUAAUACCUGCCUGGUCUGACGGUACAAUAAGAGGAAGCCACGGCUAACUACGUGCCAGCAGCCGCGGUAAUACGUAGGUGGCAAACGUUGUCCGGAAUUACUGGGCGUAAAGGGCGCGUAGGCGGUUCUUUAAGUCAGAUGUGAAAACCCAGGGCUUAACUUUGGGAGUGCAUUUGAAACUGAGGGACUCGAGUGCAGGAGAGGUAAGUGGAAUUCCUAGUGUAGCGGUGAAAUGCGUAGAUAUUAGGAGGAACACCAGUGGCGAAGGCGACUUCCUGGCUUGUAACUGACACUGAGGCGCGAAAGCGUGGGGAUCAAACAGGAUUAGAUACCCUGGUAGUCCACGCCGUAAACGAUGAGUGCUAGGUGUCGGGGGUAUCGACCCCCUCGGUGCCACAGCUAACGCAAUAAGCACUCCGCCUGGGGAGUACGGUCGCAAGACUGAAACUCAAAGGAAUUGACGGGGGCCCGCACAAGCGGUGGAGUAUGUGGUUUAAUUCGACGCAACGCGAAGAACCUUACCAAGGCUUGACAUCCCGUGACAGCCAUGGAAACAUGCAUUCCCUUCGGGGCAAGGAGACAGGUGGUGCAUGGUUGUCGUCAGCUCGUGUCGUGAGAUGUUGGGUUAAGUCCCGCAACGAGCGCAACCCUUGUCUUUAGUUACCAUCAUUCAGUUGGGGACUCUAGAGAGACUGCCGGUGAUAAACCGGAGGAAGGUGGGGAUGACGUCAAAUCAUCAUGCCCCUUAUGACUUGGGCUACACACGUACUACAAUGGCGUAUACAGAGAGACGCGAAGUGGCGACAUGGAGCAAACCUCACAAAGUACGUCUCAGUUCAGAUUGAAGUCUGCAACUCGACUUCAUGAAGGCGGAAUCGCUAGUAAUCGAGGAUCA